This 50-nucleotide transfer RNA is filed under the name Acer davidii subsp. grosseri. RNAcentral's name for it is "partial tRNA-Leu". The record is from RNAcentral. Lineage: Eukaryota; Viridiplantae; Streptophyta; Magnoliopsida; Sapindales; Sapindaceae.
GACUUUAGAAAUCGUGAGGGUUCAAGUCCCUCUAUCCCCCCAAAAAGACC